Molecule: ribosomal RNA, 465 nt
Filed under: uncultured bacterium
Lineage: Bacteria
Description: partial 16S ribosomal RNA
Rfam family: Bacterial small subunit ribosomal RNA
Source: RNAcentral
GACGAACGCUGGCGGCGUGCUUAACACAUGCAAGUCGAACGGAAAGGCCCCUUUGGGGGUGCUCGAGUGGCGAACGGGUGAGUAACAAGUGAGUAACCGGCCCUUGACGUAGGGAGAACUUCAGGAAACUGGGGCGAAUACCGGAUAGGAAUCCUUGCUGCAUGGAGGGGGUUGGAAAGCGUCGGCGGGUUUGGGUGGACUCGCGGCUUAUCAGGUUGUUGGGGGGGUAGUGGCUUACCAAGGGUUUGACGGGAAGCCGGCCGGGGGGGGCGACGGGCCACAUUGGGACGGAGUUACGGCCCAGACCCCGACGGGGGGCAGCAGGGGGGAAUAUUGCACAAUGGGCGGAAGCCGGUUGCAGCAACGCCGCGGGCGGGAGGACGGCCUUCGGGUUGUAAACCGCUUUCAGCAGGGGCGAAGCUUGUGGUGACGGUACUUGCAGAAGAAGCACCGGCUAACUACGUG